GGGAGAUCGGCGGCGGACGGACCCGUCGCCAACCCGGUCAGGUCCGGAAGGAAGCAGCCGUAACGAUUUCCGGUCCGGGUCGCCGUCCGGUCUCCCACC
Molecule: signal recognition particle RNA, 99 nt
Filed under: Magnetospirillum sp. SS-4
Lineage: Bacteria; Pseudomonadati; Pseudomonadota; Alphaproteobacteria; Rhodospirillales; Rhodospirillaceae
Description: Bacterial small signal recognition particle RNA
Rfam family: Bacterial small signal recognition particle RNA
About the family: The signal recognition particle (SRP) is a universally conserved ribonucleoprotein involved in the co-translational targeting of proteins to membranes. Archaeal SRP consists of a 7S RNA and homologues of the eukaryotic SRP19 and SRP54 proteins.
Source: Rfam by way of RNAcentral